GGAUUUAUAGCUUAGUUGGUAGAGUAUGAGUCUGUUAAUCUCAGGGUCAUGGGUUUGAACCCAACAUUGGGCAAGAGAUUCC
Molecule: non-coding RNA, 82 nt
Organism: Podarcis lilfordi (Lilford's wall lizard)
Lineage: Eukaryota; Metazoa; Chordata; Lepidosauria; Squamata; Lacertidae
Source: the annotation of a GenBank genome assembly